RNAcentral lists this ribosomal RNA (456 nucleotides) under uncultured bacterium. RNAcentral's name for it is "bacterial SSU rRNA". It matches the Rfam family "Bacterial small subunit ribosomal RNA", at positions 329 to 781 of the family's 1533-position model. The record is from RNAcentral.
GCCCAGACUCCUACGGGAGGCAGCAGUGAGGAAUAUUGGUCAAUGGGCGGAAGCCUGAACCAGCCAAGUCGCGUGAGGGAAGAAGGCCCUGCGGGUCGCAGACCUCUUUGGACGGGGAGCAAGGCCGCCGACGUGUCGGCGGAAGGAGAGUACCCGUAGAACAAGCAUCGGCUAACUCCGUGCCAGCAGCCGCGGUAAUACGGAGGAUGCGAGCGUUAUCCGGAUUUAUUGGGUUUAAAGGGUGCGCCGGCGGUACGGCAAGCCGGCGGUCAAAUCGCGGGGCUCAACCCCUGAACUGCAUUUGAAACUGUCGUUCUUGAGUACUGGAGAGGUUGACGGAAUUCCUAGUGUAGCGGUGAAAUGCGUAGAUAUUAGGAGGAACACCAGUGGCGAAGGCGGUCAACUGGACAGCAACUGACGCUGAGGCGCGAAAGCGUGGGGAGCAAACAGGAUUAG